This is a long non-coding RNA of Chelonia mydas (Green sea turtle), 221 nucleotides long. RefSeq lists it as uncharacterized. Lineage: Eukaryota; Metazoa; Chordata; Testudines; Cheloniidae. The record is from RefSeq and is a predicted model, not a curated record. The transcript is spliced from 3 exons.
ACGGACAUAUCUUAUUGUCCUUAUAUAAAUCCUUGGUAUUCCCACAUCUUGAAUACUGCGUACAGAUGUGGUCUUCUCAUCUCAAAAAAGAUAUUCUAGAAUUAAAAGAGGUUCAGAGAAGAGCACCUAAAAUGAUUAGAGGUUUGGAAAGGGGCCCAUAUGAGGAGAGAUUAAAGAGGCUAGGACUUUUUGGCUUGGAAAAGAGGAGACUAAGGGGGGAU